AGAGUUUGAUCAUGGCUCAGAACGAACGCUGGCGGCGUGGAUAAGACAUGCAAGUCGAGCGAGAUUUUUUCCUGUAGCAAUACAGGGAAAAGUCUAGCGGCGAACGGGUGCUUAACACGUGGGCAACCUGCCGAGAAGUGGGGGAUAGCUCGCCGAAAGGCGAAUUAAUACCGCAUGUGAUUAGAGAGGACAUCCUUUCGAAAUUAAAGUCGGGGCAACCUGACGCUUUUUGUGGGGCCCGCGGCCUAUCAGCUAGUUGGUGAGGUAACGGCUCACCAAGGCUUUGACGGGUAGCUGGUCUGAGAGGACGACCAGCCACACUGGGACUGAGACACGGCCCAGACACCUACGGGUGGCAGCAGUCGAGAAUUUUUGACAAUGGGGGAAACCCUGAUCGAGCGACGCCGCGUGGAGGAUGAAGGUCUUCGGAUUGUAAACUUCUGUCAUUGGGGAACAAGGUGCAUACGUUAACUGCGUGUGCAUUGAUAGUACUCGAAGAGGAAGAGACGGCUAACUCUGUGCCAGCAGCCGCGGUAAUACAGAGGUCUCAAGCGUUGUUCGGAUUCAUUGGGCGUAAAGGGUGCGUAGGCGGCGCGGUAAGCCGGGUGUGAAAUCUCGGGGCUUAACUCCGAAACUGCAUUCGAUACUGCCGUGCUUGAGGACUGGAGAGGAGACUGGAAUUUACGGUGUAGCGGUGAAAUGCGUAGAUAUCGUAAGGAAGACCAGUGGCGAAGGCGGGUCUCUGGACAGUUCCUGACGCUGAGGCACGAAGGCCAGGGGAGCAAACGGGAUUAGAUACCCCAGUAGUCC
RNAcentral lists this ribosomal RNA (810 nucleotides) under uncultured bacterium. RNAcentral's name for it is "bacterial SSU rRNA". It matches the Rfam family "Bacterial small subunit ribosomal RNA", at positions 8 to 796 of the family's 1533-position model. The record is from RNAcentral.